GGGGGAAUAGCUCAGUGGUAGAGCGUGUGCUUAGUAUGCACGAGGUCCUGGGCUUAAUCCUCAGUACCUCCA
This 72-nucleotide transfer RNA is filed under the name Camelus bactrianus (Bactrian camel). It matches the Rfam family "tRNA". From Rfam's summary of the family: Transfer RNA (tRNA) molecules are approximately 80 nucleotides in length. The record is from Rfam by way of RNAcentral. RNAcentral also lists the same sequence under 1 other name. Lineage: Eukaryota; Metazoa; Chordata; Mammalia; Artiodactyla; Camelidae.